CGGUGUCUCAUUGUUCCGCUGUUUCAGAGAAGCAUGCAGUUGAGCUUGUGGGUUCCAGAUGCCCAAGUUGCCUACAGGCAGCAGUGUCCCGCCGACCCCAGCGUGGCAAAAACCGACUGCAAUGUCCUGCAGGUGGAGAUAGGCUUCGAGAGGUGGCCAGCAAGGCCCGCGGAGCCCCAGAGGGAUGCUGCAUGACGGACAAGGUUGGAGAAGGCCUCUGACCACAAGAGGACGCGGGUCUCUGAGAACUGCCCUGGCAGGAGAAUGGCCCCCGGCCCAGCUGCCUUCCCACGACCCCAACGCAAGCCCGAGGGCUUCGGGCCUGACUUGGAGCAAGUGCAGCCUCUGUUUGGGGAAGGGGUGCCCAGCGCCCCGGGCAGCCAGUUAAGAGGGUAUGGCAAACCCAGCUGGGUGUUUAUGGAUGUGUGUACAGCAAAGGAAACAGUCCACGAUAGCCUCUGGCAAACGCGUAAUCCCAACGUCUUGGUGUGGAGUGCCGUGGACUGUAAAUAGGGGGAAAGAAAGCACUUCUUUCACAGUUUGGAGAAAAUGGAAGAGUAUGAUCAGGAAACAGAAAAUAGGUACUAUUCAUGUUGGAGCUUCUGAAGCCAGUUUUUAGAAAAAUCUUGAUUGAUGCAGACUUUUUUUUUCUAUUUGUGUAUCUUGCAUUUUAUUUUUUUUUAUUUUUACUUUAUUUUGCAGACUCUUUUGUCUUUAUUGUGGAAAGUAUCUUUUAUCUUUGCCUCACUACAAAAAUUGGUUUUACAAGAAUAAAGCUUGACUCAGCAACUUGCAAAUAGCAAAGUCCAUGAAUAUUAACCAAGUUGAGAAAAGAAAGAACCAUAAGAUCCAAGUUUCUAAAUUUAACACCUGGAAAAUUGGUGUCCUGAGUCUUUACUGGGGCUCCUGGGUUCACUGCCCACAUGAUGUUUAUUAGCUCUGUUCCUCUGCUGAGUUAACAGAAUUUCCUAACCUUGCAUGAUUCAGGAAGUGAGCCAAUCUGAUCAAGAUGCAUUAUUCUUUUAGUGUUCUAUUGAUACUAUUCAUGAAUAGUCUAUUUAGGAUUUUUCCAUCAGUAUUCAUAAGUGAGAUUGCUAUAUGUGCUGUUGUGUAGUCUUUCUUGGCUUUUAAAAUAGGUAUACUCACUUUAUACAAAGAAUUUAAAAGCUCCAUUAAUUUUUGUGUGUGUGUGCUCUGAGAUACUUUAAAAUGCAUUGGGAAGGUCAAUGAUGUUAUUGGUUCCAACAGAAGCAGAGACCUCCCACCCAUUGACCCCAGGCUUUGCCAUUGGACUUAACCUGGCCAGUGAAAUGUGAGCCGUAGUGAUGAGUGUCACUUCUGGACAAAAAUUUGGAGAGCGUGUGUAGUUCCAUCAUUUCUGUGUUCCGUCUUGCCACAGGAAUAGCAUGUCCCAAGAAGGCAAGGCUUCUUCAGGCUUGAAUUGAGGAAGAUACAUGGAACAGAAUCACUCCUGACCCGGAGCAGAUUGCAAGUAAAACAUAAAUUCUGGGNNNNNNNNNNNNNNNNNNNNNNNNNNNNNNNNNNNNNNNNNNNNNNNNNNNNNNNNNNNNNNNNNNNNNNNNNNNNNNNNNNNNNNNNNNNNNNNNNNNCGGAGCAGAUUGCAAGUAAAACAUAAAUUCUGGGGACAUCGGGUACAAGAUCCCACGUGCCCUGGGGCAACUAAGCCCGUAGGUCACAACUAGUGAGCCCGAGGGCCCAGAGCUAGUGCUCUGCAAUGGGAGAAGCCACUGCAAUGAGACGCCUGUGCACCGCCAUGGAGAGUAGCCCGCGCUCACCACAACUAGAGAAAGCCCACGCACAGCAGGGAAGACCCAGUGCAGCCAAAAAAGAAAAGUUUUAAAAAUAAUAAUAAACUCUAUUGUCAUAAACCAUUGAGAUUUGGGUGAUUUUUAUUAGCAAAGCAAAUUACCACUUAUUCCUGGUUCACAGGAAGAAGUGUGGGCUGGAGCCCUUAGGCCAGCCAGCCUCACUCCCAGGAGCAGUAGCCUCCCGUCAUUUGGAGCCACAUAAAACUUUCUUAGAGUAAGGAUGGAAAAAAAUGGAGUACUUGUGGGAAUUCUG
RNAcentral lists this long non-coding RNA (2082 nucleotides) under Capra hircus (goat). RNAcentral describes it as "lncRNA (ENSCHIG00010028410.1)". The record is from RNAcentral. Lineage: Eukaryota; Metazoa; Chordata; Mammalia; Artiodactyla; Bovidae.